Molecule: transfer RNA, 82 nt
Organism: Calocera viscosa
Lineage: Eukaryota; Fungi; Basidiomycota; Dacrymycetes; Dacrymycetales; Dacrymycetaceae
Rfam family: tRNA
About the family: Transfer RNA (tRNA) molecules are approximately 80 nucleotides in length. Their secondary structure includes four short double-helical elements and three loops (D, anti-codon, and T loops). Further hydrogen bonds mediate the characteristic L-shaped molecular structure. tRNAs have two regions of fundamental functional importance: the anti-codon, which is responsible for specific mRNA codon recognition, and the 3' end, to which the tRNAs corresponding amino acid is attached (by aminoacyl-tRNA synthetases). tRNAs cope with the degeneracy of the genetic code in two manners: having more than one tRNA (with a specific anti-codon) for a particular amino acid; and 'wobble' base-pairing, i.e. permitting non-standard base-pairing at the 3rd anti-codon position.
Source: Rfam
GGUGUGUUGGCGUAGUGGUUAACGCGUCGGCGCGUGAUCUCACACGCGGCGGAGGUCAAGGGUUCGAAUCCCCUACAUGCCU